This 23-nucleotide non-coding RNA is filed under the name Cricetulus griseus (Chinese hamster). Lineage: Eukaryota; Metazoa; Chordata; Mammalia; Rodentia; Cricetidae. The record is from RNAcentral.
UUUGGAGGAGAAUGUGGGCUGAG